GAUGAACGCUGGCGGCGUGCCUAAUACAUGCAAGUCGAGCGAACGGACGAGAAGCUUGCUUCUCUGAUGUUAGCGGCGGACGGGUGAGUAACACGUGGAUAACCUACCUAUAAGACUGGGAUAACUUCGGGAAACCGGAGCUAAUACCGGAUAAUAUUUUGAACCGCAUGGUUCAAAAGUGAAAGACGGUCCUGCUGUCACUUAUAGAUGGAUCCGCGCUGCAUUAGCUAGUUGGUAAGGUAACGGCUUACCAAGGCAACGAUGCAUAGCCGACCUGAGAGGGUGAUCGGCCACACUAGAACUGAGACAGGGUCCAGACGACUACGGGAGGCAGCAGUAGGGAAUCUGCCGCAAUGGGCGAAAGCAUGACGGAGCAACGCCGCGUGAGUGAUGAAGGUCUUCGGAUCGUAAAACUCUGUUAUUAGGGAAGAACAUAUGUGUAAGGAACUGUGCACAUCUUGACGGUACCUAAUCAGAAAGCCACGGCUAACUACGUG
This 497-nucleotide ribosomal RNA is filed under the name uncultured bacterium. RNAcentral describes it as "partial 16S ribosomal RNA". It matches the Rfam family "Bacterial small subunit ribosomal RNA", at positions 28 to 507 of the family's 1533-position model. The record is from RNAcentral.